This 465-nucleotide ribosomal RNA is filed under the name Vreelandella stevensii. RNAcentral's name for it is "partial 16S ribosomal RNA". It matches the Rfam family "Bacterial small subunit ribosomal RNA", at positions 338 to 795 of the family's 1533-position model. Lineage: Bacteria; Pseudomonadati; Pseudomonadota; Gammaproteobacteria; Oceanospirillales; Halomonadaceae. The record is from RNAcentral.
CCUACGGGCGGCUGCAGUGGGGAAUAUUGGACAAUGGGCGAAAGCCUGAUCCAGCCAUGCCGCGUGUGUCAAGAAGGCCUUCGGGUUGUAAAGCACUUUCAGUGGGGAAGAAAGCCUUGGGGCUAAUACCCUCGAGGAAGGACAUCACCCACAGAAGAAGCACCGGCUAACUCCGUGCCAGCAGCCGCGGUAAUACGGAGGGUGCGAGCGUUAAUCGGAAUUACUGGGCGUAAAGCGCGCGUAGGCGGUCUGAUAAGCCGGUUGUGAAAGCCCCGGGCUCAACCUGGGAACGGCAUCCGGAACUGUCAGGCUAGAGUGCAGGAGAGGAAGGUAGAAUUCCCGGUGUAGCGGUGAAAUGCGUAGAGAUCGGGAGGAAUACCAGUGGCGAAGGCGGCCUUCUGGACUGACACUGACGCUGAGGUGCGAAAGCGUGGGUAGCAAACAGGAUUAGAUACCCUGGUAGUC